CCCCGCUUGCGGGGGGAUUAGUGGCGAACGGGUGAGUAACACGUGAGUAACCUGCCCUUAACUCUGGGAUAAGCCUGGGAAACUGGGUCUAAUACUGGAUAUUGACUUUUCACCGCAUGGUGUUUGGUUGAAAGAUUUAUUGGUUUUGGAUGGACUCGCGGCCUAUCAGCUUGUUGGUGGGGUAAUGGCCUACCAAGGCGACGACGGGUAGCCGGCCUGAGAGGGUGACCGGCCACACUGGGACUGAGACACGGCCCAGACUCCUACGGGAGGCAGCAGUGGGGAAUAUUGCACAAUGGGCGCAAGCCUGAUGCAGCGACGCCGCGUGAGGGAUGACGGCCUUCGGGUUGUAAACCUCUUUCAGUAGGGAACAAGGCCAUCUUUUGGGUGGUUGAGGGUACUUGCAGAAGAAGCGCCGGCUAACUACGUGCCAGCAGCCGCGGUAAUACGUAGGGCGCAAGCGUUAUCCGGAAUUAUUGGGCGUAAAGAGCUCGUAGGCGGUUUGUCGCGUCUGCCGUGAAAGUCCGGGGCUCAACUCCGGAUCUGCGGUGGGUACGGGCAGACUAGAGUGAUGUAGGGGAGACUGGAAUUCCUGGUGUAGCGGUG
Molecule: ribosomal RNA, 606 nt
Filed under: Arthrobacter livingstonensis
Lineage: Bacteria; Bacillati; Actinomycetota; Actinomycetes; Micrococcales; Micrococcaceae
Description: bacterial SSU rRNA
Rfam family: Bacterial small subunit ribosomal RNA
Source: RNAcentral